AGCUCCAAUAGCGUAUAUUAAAGUUGUUGCAGUUAAAAAGCUCGUAGUUGGAUUUCUGUCUCUUUUGGGAUGCGGUCCGCCCUUCAUGGGUGAGCACUGUUAUCCUGGGGACAUCCUCUCAAAGGCGUUAUGGUGCACUUAGUUGUGUGCUUAAUGAAUUUGGGAUCUUUACUUUGAAAAAAUUAGAGUGUUCAAAGCAGGCUUAUUGCUUGAAUAUAUUAGCAUGGAAUAAUGGAAUAGGACUUUGGUUCUAUUUUGUUGGUUUCUAGGACUGAAGUAAUGAUUAAUAGGGACAGUUGGGGGCAUUAGUAUUUAAUUGUCAGAGGUGAAAUUCUUGGAUUUAUGAAAGACUAACUACUGCGAAAGCAUUUGCCAAGGAUGUUUUCAUUA
Molecule: ribosomal RNA, 390 nt
Filed under: Diaphanoeca sp.
Lineage: Eukaryota; Choanoflagellata; Acanthoecida; Stephanoecidae
Description: SSU rRNA
Rfam family: Eukaryotic small subunit ribosomal RNA
Source: RNAcentral